UACGUAGGGUGCGAGCGUUAAUCGGAAUUACUGGGCGUAAAGCGUGCGCAGGCGGUUUGUUAAGACAGAUGUGAAAUCCCCGGGCUUAACCUGGGAACUGCAUUUGUGACUGGCAAGCUAGAGUACGGCAGGGGAGACUGGAAUUCCCGGUGUAGCGGUGAAAUGCGCAGAUAUCGGGAGGAACACCGGUGGCGAAGGCGGUUCUCUGGGCCUGACCUGACGCUGAGGAGCGAAAGCGUGGGGAGCGAACAGG
This 253-nucleotide ribosomal RNA is filed under the name uncultured bacterium. RNAcentral describes it as "partial 16S ribosomal RNA". It matches the Rfam family "Bacterial small subunit ribosomal RNA", at positions 524 to 776 of the family's 1533-position model. The record is from RNAcentral.